AGUGGAGUACUCCAGCAAGGUCAAACCCAUGCGGUUUUAUCCGGUAAAGUGAAUGAUUAGAGGUCUUGGGGAGGAAAGGAUCUCAACCUUUCUCAAACUUUGAAUGGGUAAGAAGCCUGACUUGCUGGUAUGCAGCCGGGUGUGGCCCAGAGCCUAGUAGGCCACUUUUGGUAAGCAGAAUUGGCACUGCAGAAUGAACCAAACACCAGGUUAAGGCACCCAAUGUUGACGCUCAUCAGACCCCAGUAAAGGUAUUGGAUGAUACAGGCACCAGGACAGUAGCCGCGGAAGUCAGAAUCCACUAAGGAGUGUGUAGCAACUCACCUGCCGAAUCAACUAGCCCUGAAAAUGGAUGGAGCUGAAGUGUCGGGACCAUACCUGGUCCUCCCUGUCAGCUGCCCACCCGACCCCGAGUCUGACACGUGUGUGAGUC
Molecule: non-coding RNA, 433 nt
Filed under: Loxodonta africana (African savanna elephant)
Lineage: Eukaryota; Metazoa; Chordata; Mammalia; Proboscidea; Elephantidae
Description: Eukaryotic large subunit ribosomal RNA
Rfam family: Eukaryotic large subunit ribosomal RNA
Source: Rfam by way of RNAcentral